GGUUAAGCGACUAAGCGUACACGGUGGAUGCCCUGGCAGUCAGAGGCGAUGAAGGACGUGCUAAUCUGCGAAAAGCGUCGGUAAGGUGAUAUGAACCGUUAUAACCGGCGAUGUCCGAAUGGGGAAACCCAGUGCAAUUCGUUGCACUAUCGUUAACUGAAUACAUAGGUUAACGAGGCGAACCGGGGGAACUGAAACAUCUAAGUACCCCGAGGAAAAGAAAUCAACCGAGAUUCCCCCAGUAGCGGCGAGCGAACGGGGAGCAGCCCAGAGUCUGAAUCAGCUUGUGUGUUAGUGGAACGGUCUGGAAAGUCCGACGGUACAGGGUGAUAGUCCCGUACACCAAAAUGCACAGGUUGUGAACUCGAAGAGUAGGGCGGGACACGUGGUAUCCUGUCUGAAUAUGGGGGGACCAUCCUCCAAGGCUAAAUACUCCUGACUGACCGAUAGUGAACCAGUACCGUGAGGGAAAGGCGAAAAGAACCCCGGCGAGGGGAGUGAAAAAGAACCUGAAACCGUGUACGUACAAGCAGUGGGAGCACCUUCGGGUGUGACUGCGUACCUUUUGUAUAAUGGGUCAGCGACUUAUAUUCUGUAGCAAGGUUAACCGUAUAGGGGAGCCGCAGGGAAACCGAGUCUUAACUGGGCGUUAAGUUGCAGGGUAUAGACCCGAAACCCGGUGAUCUAGCCAUGGGCAGGUUGAAGGUUGGGUAACACUAACUGGAGGACCGAACCGACUAAUGUUGAAAAAUUAGCGGAUGACUUGUGGCUGGGGGUGAAAGGCCAAUCAAACCGGGAGAUAGCUGGUUCUCCCCGAAAGCUAUUUAGGUAGCGCCUCGUGAACUCAUCUUCGGGGGUAGAGCACUGUUUCGGCUAGGGGGUCAUCCCGACUUACCAACCCGAUGCAAACUACGAAUACCGAAGAAUGUUAUCACGGGAGACACACGGCGGGUGCUAACGUCCGUCGUGAAGAGGGAAACAACCCAGACCGCCAGCUAAGGUCCCAAAGUCAUGGUUAAGUGGGAAACGAUGUGGGAAGGCACAGACAGCCAGGAUGUUGGCUUAGAAGCAGCCAUCAUUUAAAGAAAGCGUAAUAGCUCACUGGUCGAGUCGGCCUGCGCGGAAGAUGUAACGGGGCUAAACCAUGCACCGAAGCUGCGGCAGCGACACUAUGUGUUGUUGGGUAGGGGAGCGUUCUGUAAGCCUGCGAAGGUGUGCUGUGAGGCAUGCUGGAGGUAUCAGAAGUGCGAAUGCUGACAUAAGUAACGAUAAAGCGGGUGAAAAGCCCGCUCGCCGGAAGACCAAGGGUUCCUGUCCAACGUUAAUCGGGGCAGGGUGAGUCGACCCCUAAGGCGAGGCCGAAAGGCGUAGUCGAUGGGAAACAGGUUAAUAUUCCUGUACUUGGUGUUACUGCGAAGGGGGGACGGAGAAGGCUAUGUUAGCCGGGCGACGGUUGUCCCGGUUUAAGCAUGUAGGCUGGUUAUCCAGGCAAAUCCGGAUAACCAAGGCUGAGGUGUGAUGACGAGGCACUACGGUGCUGAAGUAACAAAUGCCCUGCUUCCAGGAAAAGCCUCUAAGCAUCAGGUAACAUCAAAUCGUACCCCAAACCGACACAGGUGGUCAGGUAGAGAAUACCAAGGCGCUUGAGAGAACUCGGGUGAAGGAACUAGGCAAAAUGGUGCCGUAACUUCGGGAGAAGGCACGCUGGUGUGUAGGUGAAG
Molecule: ribosomal RNA, 1721 nt
Filed under: Klebsiella pneumoniae
Lineage: Bacteria; Pseudomonadati; Pseudomonadota; Gammaproteobacteria; Enterobacterales; Enterobacteriaceae
Description: partial 23S ribosomal RNA
Rfam family: Bacterial large subunit ribosomal RNA
Source: RNAcentral